This 275-nucleotide long non-coding RNA is filed under the name Lathyrus oleraceus (garden pea). RNAcentral's name for it is "Pisum sativum (pea) long non-coding RNA (PSAT_LNC002382)". The record is from RNAcentral. Lineage: Eukaryota; Viridiplantae; Streptophyta; Magnoliopsida; Fabales; Fabaceae.
CUAUAAAUAGUUAAAUAUAAUAAGAGGAUAGUGGAUCGUUACCCUGUGGAAAUCCUAUCCCCAACCGCACCUAAAAGCAAAAAUUACAAAAGGCGAUUCAGAAUGAACCAAGACAAGUCCCGAUAAAUCGAGUGAAGCACAGAAGUAAGAAUCAGGAAAGAAGCCCAAUAACCAAGAGAAACAAAAGACAGGAAGAGAAUUUCUACCUUUGAAUCCGUCUUUGCGAUAACCUUAUGGGCGUUAGGUUAUCCUCUUUAACCCAGUUCAUACAUGCG